Molecule: transfer RNA, 71 nt
Filed under: Nesophrosyne sp. 48 GMB-2012
Lineage: Eukaryota; Metazoa; Arthropoda; Insecta; Hemiptera; Cicadellidae
Description: tRNA-Met
Source: RNAcentral
AAAAAGAUAAGCUAAAACAAAAGCUAUUAGGUUCAUACCCUAAAGAUAGAAUAAAAUAAUUCUUCUUUUUA